This 199-nucleotide long non-coding RNA is filed under the name Hordeum vulgare. RNAcentral describes it as "long non-coding RNA (HVUL_LNC019501)". Lineage: Eukaryota; Viridiplantae; Streptophyta; Magnoliopsida; Poales; Poaceae. The record is from RNAcentral.
UAUCCGUCUACUUGUUUUGGACGUGAUGCCUAUAGAUAUGAUCAUUGCCAUAGAUAAUGUCAUGACUUUGCGCGGUUCUAUUAAUUGCUCGACAGUAAUUCGUUCAUCCACCGUCUACUUGCUUUCAUGAGAGAAGCCACUAGUGAACACUACGGCCCCCGGGUCUAUUCACAACUAUCGUCUCCACUUUUACUUUUAC